UACAGGGGGGGGCAAGCGUUGUUCGGAAUUACUGGGCGUAAAGGGUUCGUAGGUGGCCAACUAAGUCGGAUGUGAAAUCCCCAGGCUUAACCUGGGAACUGCAUCCGAUACUGGAUGGCUUGAAUUCGGGAGAGGGAUGCAGAAUUCCAGGUGUAGCGGUGAAAUGCGUAGAUAUCUGGAGGAAUACCGGUGGCGAAGGCAGCUCGCUGGGACGGUACUGACGCUGAGGCGCGAAAGCGUGGGGAGCAAACAGG
RNAcentral lists this ribosomal RNA (254 nucleotides) under uncultured bacterium. RNAcentral describes it as "partial 16S ribosomal RNA". It matches the Rfam family "Bacterial small subunit ribosomal RNA", at positions 524 to 776 of the family's 1533-position model. The record is from RNAcentral.